This 466-nucleotide ribosomal RNA is filed under the name uncultured bacterium. RNAcentral describes it as "partial 16S ribosomal RNA". It matches the Rfam family "Bacterial small subunit ribosomal RNA", at positions 28 to 507 of the family's 1533-position model. The record is from RNAcentral.
GAUGAACGCUGGCGGCGUGCUUAACACAUGCAAGUCGAACGGAAAGGCCCAAGCUUGCUUGGGUACUCGAGUGGCGAACGGGUGAGUAACACGUGGGUGAUCUGCCCUGCACUUCGGGAUAAGCCUGGGAAACUGGGUCUAAUACCGGAUAGGACCACCUUUUGGAUGGUGUGGUGGAAAGUUUUUCGGUGUGGGAUGAGCUCGCGGCCUAUCAGCUUGUUGGUGGGGUAAUGGCCUACCAAGGCGUCGACGGGUAGCCGGCCUGGGAGGGGGUACGGCCAAAAUGGGAAUGGGAUACCGCCCAGACUCCUACGGGAGGGAAGAGGGGGGGAUAAUGGAAAAUGGGGGGGAGCCUGAAGCAGCGACGGCGGGUUGGGGGUGAAGGGCUUCGGGUUUGAAACCCCUUUUGCUAGGGAAGAAGCGGUAUGUGACGGUACUGGGUGAAGAAGCACCGGCUAACUACGUG